Molecule: long non-coding RNA, 388 nt
Organism: Gasterosteus aculeatus aculeatus (three-spined stickleback)
Lineage: Eukaryota; Metazoa; Chordata; Actinopteri; Perciformes; Gasterosteidae
Source: Ensembl
AGAGAAAUAAGAGUGACGGAGAAAUAUGAAGUGACACGGAGCGUCACUGGCACAUCCUGUGUGAGUGAAACCUCCUGUUUGACCGUUGCAGGUGAGACAUGAGAGGCGUGACGAGUCCAAACAAGAGAGUCCAGCCAGGUGGAUGUGGUGGGUGAGGUGGGUGAGGUGGAUGAGGUAGGUGAGCUGGAUGAGGUGCGUGAGGUGGGUGAGCUGGGUGAGGUGGGUGAGGUGGGUGAGGGGGAUGAGGGUGGGUGAGGGGAUGCGGUAGGUGAGGUGUGAGGUGGGUGAGGUGGAUGAGGUGUGAGGUGGGUGAGGUGUGAGGUGGGUGAGGUGGGUGAGGUGGAUGAGCUGGGUGAGGUGGGUGAGGUGGGUGAGGUGGAUGAGGUGG